UACGUAGGGUGCGAGCGUUAAUCGGAAUUACUGGGCGUAAAGAGCGCGCAGGCGGUCGUUCAAGUCGAGUGUGAAAGCCCCCGGCUCAACUGGGGAGGGUCAUUCGAUACUGAUCGACUUGAAGGCAGGAGAGGGAAGCGGAAUUCCCGGUGCAGUGGUGAAAUGCGUAGAUAUCGGGAGGAACACCAGUGGCGAAGGCGGCUUCCUGGCCUGUUCUUGACGCUGAGGCGCGAAAGCUAGGGGAGCAAACGGG
Molecule: ribosomal RNA, 253 nt
Filed under: uncultured bacterium
Lineage: Bacteria
Description: partial 16S ribosomal RNA
Rfam family: Bacterial small subunit ribosomal RNA
Source: RNAcentral